UACGUAGGUGGCAAGCGUUAUCCGGAUUUAUUGGGCGUAAAGGGAACGCAGGCGGUCUUUUAAGUCUGAUGUGAAAGCCUUCGACUUAACCGGAGUAGUGCAUUGGAAACUGGGAGACUUGAGUGCAGAAGAGGAGAGUGGAACUCCAUGUGUAGCGGUGAAAUGCGUAGAUAUAUGGAAGAACCCCAGUGGCGAAAGCGGCUCUCUGGUCUGUAACUGACGCUGAGGUUCGAAAGCGUGGGUAGCAAACAGG
RNAcentral lists this ribosomal RNA (253 nucleotides) under uncultured bacterium. RNAcentral describes it as "partial 16S ribosomal RNA". It matches the Rfam family "Bacterial small subunit ribosomal RNA", at positions 524 to 776 of the family's 1533-position model. The record is from RNAcentral.